Molecule: ribosomal RNA, 449 nt
Filed under: uncultured bacterium
Lineage: Bacteria
Description: partial 16S ribosomal RNA
Rfam family: Bacterial small subunit ribosomal RNA
Source: RNAcentral
AACGAACGCUGGCGGCAGGCUUAACACAUGCAAGUCGAACGCAUCCUUCGGGGUGAGUGGCAGACGGGUGAGUAACGCGUGGGAACGUGCCCUUCAGUUCGGGAUAACCCAGGGAAACUUGGGCUAAUACCGGAUACGUGCGAGAGCAGAAAGAUUUAUCGCUGAAGGAUCGGCCCGCGUCUGAUUAGCUAGUUGGUGGGGUAAUGGCCCACCAAGGCGACGAUCAGUAGCUGGUCUGAGAGGAUGAUCAGCCACAUUGGGACUGAGACACGGCCAAAACUCCUCGGGGAGGCAGCGGUGGGGAAUAUUGGAAAAGGGGCGAAAGCCGGACCCGGCCAGGCCGCGUGGGUGAUGAAGGCCUUAGGGUUGUAAAGCUCUUUCGUCCGGGACGAUAAGGACGGUACCGGAAGAAGAAGCCCCGGCUACCUUCGGGCCAGCCGCCGCGGUAA